Molecule: ribosomal RNA, 251 nt
Filed under: Lecanora atra
Lineage: Eukaryota; Fungi; Ascomycota; Lecanoromycetes; Lecanorales; Lecanoraceae
Description: partial 18S ribosomal RNA
Source: RNAcentral
UGACCCCUCCGGAAGCCUUGUACGUUGCCCGGUCCACCUUGGCGUGGGCGACACUCGUCUGUUGCUGGAAAUAAUCCUCCCUUGGGAGUCAAUCAGCUGCUGUAUAUCAACCCAUAUACAGCCCACAGAUCAAACACGAGUGGCUAUCCCCUUCCCUAUCUAGGACGGUGGGUUUUAGUUAAGAUAUGACCGUAGCUGCCCUGUAAGGGGCCGGAGAUACUAGUUCCGUAGGUGAACCUGCGGAAGGAUCA